ACGGCUCAGUAACACGUGGAUAACCUGCCCUUGGGUCUGGCAUAACCCCGGGAAACUGGGGAUAAUUCCGGAUAACGCAUAUAUGCUGGAAUGCUUUAUGCGUAAAAUGGAUUCGUCCGCCCAAGGAUGGGUCUGCGGCCUAUCAGGUAGUAGUGGGUGUAAUGUACCUACUAGCCUACAACGGGUACGGGUUGUGAGAGCAAGAGCCCGGAGAUGGAUUCUGAGACAUGAAUCCAGGCCCUACGGGGCGCAGCAGGCGCGAAAACUUUACAAUGCGGGAAACCGUGAUAAGGGGACACCGAGUGCUAGCAUCAUAUGCUGGCUGUCCAGGUGUGUAAAAUACACCUGUUAGCAAGGGCCGGGCAAGACCGGUGCCAGCAGCCGCGGUAAUAC
This 393-nucleotide ribosomal RNA is filed under the name uncultured archaeon. RNAcentral's name for it is "bacterial SSU rRNA". It matches the Rfam family "Archaeal small subunit ribosomal RNA", at positions 85 to 476 of the family's 1478-position model. The record is from RNAcentral.